This 482-nucleotide ribosomal RNA is filed under the name uncultured bacterium. RNAcentral's name for it is "partial 16S ribosomal RNA". It matches the Rfam family "Bacterial small subunit ribosomal RNA", at positions 30 to 507 of the family's 1533-position model. The record is from RNAcentral.
ACUGAACGCUGGCGGCAUGCCUUACACAUGCAAGUCGAACGGUAACAGGUCUUCGGAUGCUGACGAGUGGCGAACGGGUGAGUAAUACAUCGGAACGUGCCCGAUCGUGGGGGAUAACGAAGCGAAAGCUUUGCUAAUACCGCAUAAGAUCUACGGAUGAAAGCAGGGGACCGCAAGGCCUUGCGCGAACGGAGCGGCCGAUGGCAGAUUAGGUAGUUGGUGGGAUAAAAGCUUACCAAGCCGACGAUCUGUAGCUGGUCUGAGAGGACGACCAGCCACACUGGGACUGAGACACGGCCCAGACUCCUACGGGAGGCAGCAGUGGGGAAUUUUGGACAAUGGGCGAAAGCCUGAUCCAGCCAUGCCGCGUGCAGGAUGAAGGCCUUCGGGUUGUAAACUGCUUUUGUACGGAACGAAAAGACUCUGGUUAAUACCUGGGGUCCAUGACGGUAUCGUAAGAAUAAGCACCGGCUAACUACGUG